CAGUCGUACUUGCGGAUAAUCAGCCUUUCGGGUGCGAUUCUGUGGGGCGUGAGGAGCUUAACCGCCUUCAUGUUUUGCAUAUUCGUGCACAUUUGGUGUACUUGUCCGUGUGGUGGGUUAACAUCAGUUUCGGUCGUCAUAAAAUGAUUGGAGGAAUGUGGCACCUCCGGGUGUGUUAUAGCCCCCUUGCUGUAUACACUGGUUGGGAUUGGAGGUUUCAGUGCACGCUUCGGUUGUGCUUUGAUGCUGGCGUAAUGGCUUUAAGCGACCCGUCUUGAAACACGGACCAAGGAGUCUAACGAUAUAUGCGAGUGUUU
This 317-nucleotide ribosomal RNA is filed under the name Rhizophagus irregularis. Lineage: Eukaryota; Fungi; Glomeromycota; Glomeromycetes; Glomerales; Glomeraceae. The record is from RNAcentral.